GUAGUCUCGCACAGAUGCAUAUCAAUAAGCGGAGGAAAAGAAACUAACAAGGAUUCCCCUAGUAACGGCGAGUGAAGCGGGAAGAGCUCAAAUUUGAAAUCUUAAAGGGUUUCCCUUUACGAAUUGUAGUUUAAAGAAGUGUUUUCUGUUGAGGUUUUGGUAAAAGUUCUUUGGAAUAGGACAUCAUAGAGGGUGAGAAUCCCGUAUUUGACCUUUACUUUCAACUUUGUGAUACACUUUCAAAGAGUCGGAUUGUUUGGGAAUGCAGUCCAAAAUGGGUGGUAAAUUUCAUCUAAAGCUAAAUAUUGGCGAGAGACCGAUAGCGAACAAGUACCGUGAGGGAAAGAUGAAAAGAACUUUGAAAAGAGAGUUAAACAGUACGUGAAAUUGUCAAAAGGGAAGCGUUUGACAUCCAGUGUUGUUUUUCUGAAAAUCAAUUAAAGAACUGUUUAUGCUAAGCUGUUUAGACUUUAUCAGCUAACUGUUUAGUUUUGAGCUUUUCUUUAAUGCACUUUUCAGUUAACAAGUCAACAUCAAUUUCUUUUGCUGUAAAAAAGCUUGAGGAAGGUGGCUUGAGAUUCGUCUUAAGUGUUUAUAGCCUCUUGCCUAUGCAGUCGGAGAGAUUGAGGUCUGCAGCGUAGAUCCUUCGGGGCUAAAUGCAUUUGUGCUAAGUUAUAGCAUUUUAUAGACAACUUGUUGACUAUGAUUUGUCUUGUAGCUUACUCGCUUAUGUUAUUUUACCUACGCUUAGGAUGUUGACGCAUGAGAUAUACGC
This 775-nucleotide ribosomal RNA is filed under the name uncultured Neocallimastigales. Its description in RNAcentral is "partial large subunit ribosomal RNA". It matches the Rfam family "Eukaryotic large subunit ribosomal RNA", at positions 24 to 647 of the family's 3401-position model. The record is from RNAcentral. Lineage: Eukaryota; Fungi; Neocallimastigomycota; Neocallimastigomycetes; Neocallimastigales.